CGCGGGUAAACCGCGGAAGGUAACUAUGACCCUCUUAAGGUAGCCAAAUGCCUCGUCAUCUAAUUAGUGACCCGCAUGAAUGGAUUAACGAGAUUCCCUCUGUCCCUAUCUACUUUCUAGCGAAACCACAG
Molecule: ribosomal RNA, 131 nt
Filed under: Apis mellifera mellifera (German honeybee)
Lineage: Eukaryota; Metazoa; Arthropoda; Insecta; Hymenoptera; Apidae
Description: partial 28S ribosomal RNA
Rfam family: Eukaryotic large subunit ribosomal RNA
Source: RNAcentral